RNAcentral lists this long non-coding RNA (6546 nucleotides) under Gallus gallus (chicken). Lineage: Eukaryota; Metazoa; Chordata; Aves; Galliformes; Phasianidae. The record is from RNAcentral.
CGCCCCGCUCCGCACAGCAGAGGUGCAGCUCUCCCCGGGCUGAGACUGCUGCUUUGGGUCACGCAGAGAGGACAGCAGAGCCCCGCGCUGCACAUCCCGGCAGCUGAAUCUCCCACCGGGGUUUGGCCACACGAGCUGAAUGCACAUUGAGCAUCGCAGCGCUUCCAGCACCCAAACCCCCCUCCAGCUCAGCCCAGCCAAGUCAGCCCAGGCAGUCAGGCCCAGCUGGUGGCCCUCCAGGCGCUGUGCCAGCACCGGCUCUGCUGGGUGGGCUGCAGCCCCCGCUGCAGGCAGCGGUGAGCCCUGGGGCAGCUGAGCUGCUCUGCAGCUGCAGCCUAUGGGAAGGUGCAGUGCUUUCCCAGUCCUUCCCCCACCCCUCUCACAGUUAUGGUGUCUCCCAGCCCCACACGAGCGUGGAUUUCGGUUGGCAGCUCCCAGGCAGGAAGGUCGCUCACCUCAGUGACGCAGGGAGCAGCUCAGAUGAUUGACACCAACACAAACAGUGUGGGCUGAGCCCGGUGCUGGGCCUGGCAGCACAGGACUGCCCACCCCUUCUGUCCAAAGGCAGACAGGCAGCUCAGCAGGCUGCAAACAGGGGUACGUGUUUCUAAGGGUGCCCUUGGGAAACCAGCUCUAAUUUCGUCACGUUUCCAGUCACGGCACUUGCACACAUCAGUGCGAAAGGCAGUAAGGGAGCUGGCUGACACUGCCCUCAGCCCGCCCUCCCCUGCCCCGCUGUGUUGGCCCUGGGAAGGUCCUUGUGAGGCACAGCACCACUCAGCACCACCCACUGCAUUUCUGUUCCUUCUCCUUUGCAGAAAUGUCAGGGCAGCAGCCCUGUGCCACCUGGCCCCUCCCGUGGAAGGGGAACAGAGAACAGCACGUGAUGUUCUGCCCCGCCAUGCAAUCCAAAGGAAAUCCCCCACUGUGUGUCUAUUGACCAGCUUUGCAGCGAGCACAGGUGGAGGUGGGCCUGCUUUCUCCAGGCUGGGUCCAGGGUGUGGGUCCGGGGGAUGGGCUUUCCCAUCCUUUAAGGUAAGACCACCCCAUAGAAGCGCUGUGAGAGGACCACACCGUGUCUGUUACAUGCAGUCUCCCUCCUGACUCAAAACCAGAUGGCGGAGCUGUGUGAGCCCGGCACACUCACGGGCCGAUAACGAUCUCCAGGAAGGCAGCAGCCAUUGUCAGAGCCUGUGGGACACACCCCGACUUCAGGCUUUUUUCCCCUCUCAUUCUCGAACUGUUGCUGAAAUCCUCACUGCAGUAAUGCUGAGCAGACAUUCCCCGUGUGGUUCAGUGCCGCUAAGCCAGAAGGGGCUCCUUCCUUCCAUGGGAGCCAAAGUGCUUCUCCUCACCCUGUAAGGUCUCAGAACACGGAGGGCUGCAUGCAGCACAGCACUGCCAGGAGCAGAGGGGAAGAAUAGCAGCUCCUGAGAGUUAAAAGGAGAAACAAAAAGAAGGCACCUCAGCAGAGGGAAGAGUUCUGCGCUACGUGAGGCUCUGAGACACACGGCCGCAUGGUUCCCAAAGCAAACCAGCACGUGCCUGAGGCACACAAGGCUGGUGUAACCACGCGGCAAUGUGCAGAAUCUGGAACAGUCAUGCUUAGCAUGGAUACGCAUCUGCUGUCUAAGAACCUCAAAGGUAUCAUGAACCUAAAUUAACGAUCUGCACUGAUGUCAUUCCUUCACGGAGCCAAAGCCUCCCUGGGGAAUGCAGUCCGGCUGCUCCAGCAGGAAAAGGGCACCGCGGCGGCACACGGCCAUGGGACACCCACAGGGCCUGCCCUGGAAACCUGCACAGCCCCCGCUGAGCUGCCAGGGAACGCUCCAGCCCAGCUGCGAUGCAUGAGGAGCCCGGCCAGAAAGAGGUGACAGACACACGUAGGCAGCAGGAAGGGCGGCUCCAGCACAGACCCAGCCCCGCUCUCUGUAGUUGGAGCACAGAUUUCCUCAUUUCAAUUAAAGACUGAUGAGUCUUGGAAGCAAGCAAGUAAGAACUGACUCCAAAUCCGGCACGGGUACAUGAACUGCAAGAGAUAGCAAGAUCAGCAAAAUAGGCACACGUGCAAGGAAAGGUGGGGUGGAAGCGUGCACCUUCACAGAGAUGCUGACUGCCCACAGCCCCCGCUGUCAGGGAGACCUGCGAGGAGGCUGGACGAGCAGCCAGGAACACCAUCAGAAACAAGAGGGACUUUCCUAAGUUACAGUCCUGGCACUUGGGCCCACGAGUACAUGGGACAGCCCCUGCUUGACUGCUAGACAACAGACUGCAAAACAGAAUAACACAGCUCUUCAGCUGAUGGGCAUCUGCAAGUUCUUCCUUAGCAGGAAUGAAUGCCAGCAUUUCCUUGACAUUAUGGUUUGAGGCUACAGUGCCUCUUGACCUGUCUCUUCCUGGCAGGCGACCACCUGUAGAACCAGCAGAUGCUCUCAGGACAGGCUCACAUCACAGCACGUCAGGAAGGAGGAUUUGAUUUCAUCCCUUCAGAAAGAACAUCCACCUGUCUCGUGCAAGCAUGGCUAUUGCUUUAUUGACCGAGUCCAUUUCUACUUACAAAGGGCUUCACUCUCCCACUUCAAAGCACAGUGUUUUGUUCCAGUUCUUCAAAUAAAGACACCAUCUUGCUCACCAUGGAAUCCAGCAGCCCAUAAACCUGCAGCAGAAGUUAACAGAAGACACGUGCAGUGAAAAUGAGUGAUGAAAUCCUGAUGAGAUGGACAGAGCAGAGCUGGUUUCUAACAGAGGGGUGUAGCCGUGUAUGGGCGCACACACGAGAAGCAGCUGCCUGCUGACAGAUCCGAGCUCCAGUAACAGCCUUCCUGGCUAUGAAGUGUGUUUAACAUUGUCUGAGAUACAAUUAAUUCUGCUGCUCCCUCCAGAGUCCCCAAGUGUGCAAAAGACAUCCCAGGCAGAAAUCCCACACGUGGAGAUGGCUGCAUUUCUGUUAAUGGGCUCCAGCCUGGAAUCAGGGCCGCCUUCCCUCGCUCGUCACACCCACCUUGCUGCACAAUUACAGACACACAGCUGUCAGUUUAACAGAACGCUUUACCUCUCCAGCUGCGCCUCAGGGUCGGUUUGUAAGCAAAGGACAGAAGGCAGAAAUGAAGGCACAAGUUUUGGCCGGACUCACUUCGACGUAAAGCUUCUCCUGGUACAGCCCCCAGACAGUGGGGUCCAUCUGCUCCCGAGGGGGUGCGGCAGGGGCUGCAGCUGCGGCUCCUGUGGGCUGUGCCAUCUCCUUCUCUGAGGAGCUGCCAGAUUUCAGCUUCUUCUUCUCUUUCACUUUCGACUUUCUGCUGUUUGGGCGUUCCUGUUUGAGGGACAGAGUUGGAAAACAGAACUGAUGCGGAUCAGAACCCUUUCAGGGGUUGGAAAUCAGCUCCAGCUCAGGCACACAGCCUCGCGAGGCACCGCAGAACACGAUGCUGUUUUCCACAGGCAUCCCAGCACGAACCUCUUUCUCUUUUCCAGCAGUCUUCGUUGUCCUCCUUUUGUCUUCUUUAUCCUUACCACCAACUGACGUUUUCUCUUCUCUUCUCCCAGUUAUUUUGUCACCUUCUUCUACAGGUUGCUUUUCUUCCCCUAAGAAUGAACUAAUUCCACUUACCUAAAAGCAACACUUAUAUCCAGAAAGACUCCCAGUGCACUCAGGGAGUAUAAACACAGCAUUUCUGCACUGUAUUUUCCCCUCCUUAUUGAGCUGAGCUAUACUGCACCGAGAAGCAGCAGCGUGGAAGAGUGCUUUGUUUAAGUAAGGAACGAGCAGACCUCAAACGUUCAUCAGAGCAACGCCCAUAAAGCAGCUGAAAAUGAGAUAAUUUUUGGUCUCAUCAGUUCAAAAACCAGCACUAAAAUGCAGUGAAAUUAAAAUACUUAUUUGCGAUAUUUUCUCUCUCUGUGUGCAAUUUUUAACAGCAAACCUCAGGGCACCGUUCUUAUCUCACACGCUGCUGUUUUCUCUGGUGCGUUUUCUUAUAAAAGCUUUGGGGUGAAGCUGAUGAAGCUGCCAUUCCAGUUGAAAUUCAGGAGGUUUUUUGGGGUGCCAGCAGUCCCCGCAGUCCUCCUGCUGUGCUGAAGCCACCACUCACCUCUUCCCUCCGGACCAACAUCCACGCAGGUGUCCCUCUCAGGCAAUCCAAGCUGGGAUCUCAGCCUCACGGAGUGCCCCACCAGCCCAUCUACUGCCUCACGCCACAGCUGGAGGCUGAGAAGAGCAUCAGAAACAGAAGGGAGAUGGCACAGCAAGGGGCAUUCUGGGGUGGAAAGGGCCGCUGUGUUCUACCCUAUGCCCAGGCCUGAAGGCACCUUGCAGCCAGGAGCUGCCCUGCCCAACUGCAACAGCACCUAACAUCGAAAACCCACGCGGAGGGAAAUGGCAUUCCUUCCCUUGGCUUAAAACCUCCUGAGGUCUCAGUGGUUUGCAGUUCAGUGGACUCACACGGACCCACGAAUACCACUGUGAAAUUAGGCCUCCUGCUCUACAACACGACACGUGGUAAAUCAGCCCCGAUCCACGCUCUGUCCAGGAGGAAUCUGCCUCCUUCUGAUGCAGAAGCAACCGGCAGCUGUUAACAUGGCACAGUGUGCACGACAGCACAGCACGGAGAAGCUGUGUGAGGGAGAACGAAGUUAUCUGCUAAGAGGGAACAGCAAAUUACCCAAAGAUCUCAUAACGUAUCCUGGAAUAAUCUCCCCAGAAAUAACCCCGCAUACUCCCCAAAAUUACACGAAUGUUCUAAACUUAUCUCCAGAAAGAACUGGCACUUGGAUUAGAUAGCUGCUGCAAUUAGCCUGUAAGAAAGCGGGGCACGGAAAAAGACUUCUACAGCUCACAUAAUUACAUGCACUCUGAAUCACAACACCGCAACAGAGCUCACUGAGCUGCUGAUCACACGGGACGUUUGCAAGCUCUAUCCUGCAAAGGCAGCGCACCAGGUUUGAUGCAGAAGGUCUGACUGCGUUGGCCUCUGCUCAGCACAAAGCUCCAGCAGUGCCUUGUUGAGCUGGGACAGCGCUGCUUCCCGCUGCUCCUCCUGCGGGAUGGACUUCAGAGCCUGAUGUGAGAAAACACAGCUCAGUGUUCCUUCCCAGCCCUCCGCACCCCAAUUCACCUCAGCACACUGCAGCUCUCUCCCUGGAUGCCAGUCUGAAACCAAUUGGCACCAGGAAUCCCACAGCCAGACACAGCCUGAGAUGUGGCCAACGCACGUGGGUGGGCCAUGCUGCCCCGGUCUCCCAGUUAGACCCACCCAGAGAGAUCCCUCUGCACCUGGGGACGGGGCUGCAGCAGGCCAGAAGGCCCCCUGACAACAGAGAAGCAGCUCAGAGCUUUCCAAGAGAGCAAUGCAGAAAACGGUGCUGCCGGAACCCCAACCACUCCUGGUUUAAUCCAGGCAGGUCUGCAUUCCACCCACAGCCUGUGUGACUGCCCCGAGUGCUCUGCUGAACAGAAGGACUCUCCGCAGGGAAGAGCUGUCGGGGAAGCCACAGGAGGCUGUGGGGUCGGCCUGCCUCCCCAUUCAGCUCUGGGAUGACAGAGAGCUAAUAGGGUAGGAGCUUAAAAUAUCCACGGCAUUGUCUGCUUCUUUUCUUCUGCACACAGCAGCCCUCGCCGUCUCUCUCGGGGAUUUCCUUACAGGAGCACUGAGGGUGCAGUCAGCAGAGCUGGAGUGCUCUGUGACACACACCAUAAAUCACCCCUAACUCAGGGAUGGUCGGCAGCAGAGCUCUGGGUGGGCUCACACUGGGGCACACCGGGCUGUAGGGGAAAUGGAACCCCACCGCUGUCCCUGUGCUGGGGGGGCACGGUGACCACCUGCUGCAAGUCCUCGAAUGAGAAGUUCCACGAUGAGCUGCCGGGUUCCUCCUCCCCCACAUCUGCCACUCGACUCGGAGUCGCUUCCAGGGUGCUCUUCCAGUCUGAGCCCUCCUGGGCAGAGAGAGCCUCCAGGACACCCUGCUGGGACCUCACGUCCUCCGCGGCGCUCUCCUGGUCUGAGGGCACCUCCUCCCCCAGGGCUGGCGGAGCAGUGCUGUGCUGUCUCCAUAGGUCACACAGCUGCUCCACCACUCGAUGCUGAUAAUGCAACUUGGGAUUCUUCCUGUGGAAUAACUCUUCCUCUGUGAUGUACACAUCCACGGGAGAUGGAGUGCGCUCUGGGGUCCGAAUUUGGACAAGAAGGUCCUUCAGAGUCUCCUCUACAAUAGCAGCACCCUCCUGAGCAGCCACGUCAGCCUGCAGCACAAUUCAUACCCACACUGCUAACUACAUGUCUUAAGCAGGAUUACAAGGACAACAGCAAACUCCACUCAACUAAGCAGUGGAAUUUGCAGUUUAUUCCCUAAUAUCACACUGCACGAUACACAGUGCUAUGCCCACUAACUAACCGAGUUCACUACAAAGAGAAAAUUCGUUUUUAAGGGAGCCCCUGCAUGCAGUUUAGCAGCACAACCACAUCUUUAUUAACAACAUCACAGUGUGCUGCAGGAUUCUUCCAUUUUAUUUAGCAAACCUGCUUAAGUACGUACAGACGUUCACAAAAU